AGGAUAAACGCUGGCGGCGUGCCUAACACAUGCAAGUCGAACGUCUCUUCUUUCGGGAAGAGGAGUGGCGGACGGGUGAGGAACACGUGGGAACCUGCCCUUCAGUGAGGAAUACCGGCGAGAAAUCGCCGACAAGACCGCAUAGCCCUCUCUGGUGAGAGCCAGAGAAGGAAAGCCUCGCAAGAGGCGCUGGAGGAGGGGCCUGCGUCCGAUUAGCUAGUUGGUGGGGUAAGAGCCUACCAAGGCGUCGAUCGGUAGCUGGUCUGAGAGGACGAUCAGCCACACUGGGAUUGAGAACGGCCCAGACUCCUACGGGGGGCAGCAGUGAGGAAUUUUCGGCAAUGGGGGAAACCCUGACCGAGCAACGCCGCGUGCAGGAAGACAGCCUUCGGGUUGUAAACUGCUUUUCUUUGGGACGAGCAAGGACGGUACCAGAGGAAUCAGCCCCGGCUCACUACGUGCCAGCAGCCGC
This 472-nucleotide ribosomal RNA is filed under the name uncultured bacterium. RNAcentral's name for it is "SSU rRNA". It matches the Rfam family "Bacterial small subunit ribosomal RNA", at positions 26 to 518 of the family's 1533-position model. The record is from RNAcentral.